This 76-nucleotide transfer RNA is filed under the name Salmonella sp. FORC89. RNAcentral describes it as "tRNA-Phe". Lineage: Bacteria; Pseudomonadati; Pseudomonadota; Gammaproteobacteria; Enterobacterales; Enterobacteriaceae. The record is from RNAcentral.
UGAUCGCUUUGUCUUCUAUUCAUUUCAUUACAUUUAACUCACUUUCAGUAUUUCCUUUUAAAUAAUCCAUUAAAUG